UAGGGAAUAUUGGUUAAUGUGCGAAAGCGCGAACCAGCAACGCCGCGUGUUCGAUGAAGGCCUUCGGGUCGUAAAGCACUUUUUGCAGGGAAGAGGAAGGACGGUACCUGCAGAAUAAGUCUCUGCUAACUACGUGCCAGCAGCCGCGGUAAAACGUAGGAGACGAGCGUUAUCCUGAUUUCCUUGGCGUAAAGCUCGUGCAUGAGGCAUGGCAAGUUGGAUGUGAAAGCUCCCGGCUUAACUGGGAGAGGUCGUUCAAUACUGCCAGGCUUGAGAGUGGUAGAGGGAAG
RNAcentral lists this ribosomal RNA (290 nucleotides) under uncultured bacterium. Its description in RNAcentral is "partial 16S ribosomal RNA". It matches the Rfam family "Bacterial small subunit ribosomal RNA", at positions 355 to 661 of the family's 1533-position model. The record is from RNAcentral.